CUACGGGAUGCACCAGUGGGGAAUCUUGGACAAUGGGCGCAAGCCUGAUCCAGCCAUGCCGCGUGAGUGAAGAAGGCCUUAGGGUCGUAAAGCUCUUUCGCCAGAGAUGAUAAUGACAGUAUCUGGUAAAGAAACCCCGGCUAACUCCGUGCCAGCAGCCGCGGUAAUACGGAGGGGGUUAGCGUUGUUCGGAAUUACUGGGCGUAAAGCGCGCGUAGGCGGAUUAGUCAGUCAGAGGUGAAAUCCCAGGGCUCAACCCUAGAACUGCCUUUGAUACUGCUAGUCUUGAGUUCGAGAGAGGUGAGUGGAAUUCCGAGUGUAGAGGUGAAAUUCGUAGAUAUUCGGAGGAACACCAGUGGCGAAGGCGGCUCACUGGCUCGAUACUGACGCUGAGGUGCGAAAGUGUGGGGAGCAAACAGGAUUAGAUACCCUUGUAGUC
RNAcentral lists this ribosomal RNA (439 nucleotides) under uncultured bacterium. RNAcentral's name for it is "partial 16S ribosomal RNA". It matches the Rfam family "Bacterial small subunit ribosomal RNA", at positions 339 to 795 of the family's 1533-position model. The record is from RNAcentral.